This 434-nucleotide ribosomal RNA is filed under the name uncultured bacterium. RNAcentral's name for it is "bacterial SSU rRNA". It matches the Rfam family "Bacterial small subunit ribosomal RNA", at positions 335 to 755 of the family's 1533-position model. The record is from RNAcentral.
ACUCCUACGGGGAGGCAGCAGUAGGGGAAUCUUCCACAAUAGGACGGAAAGUCUGAUGGAGCAACGCCGCGUGAGUGAAGAAGGGUUUCGGCUCGUAAAACUCUGUUGUUAAAAGAAGAACAUAUCUGAGAGUAACUGUUCAGGUAUUGACGGUAUUUAACCAGAAAGCCACGGCUAACUACGUGCCAGCAGCCGCGGUAAUACGUAGGUGGCAAGCGUUGUCCGGAUUUAUUGGGGCGUAAAGCGAGCGCAGGCGGUUUUUAAAGUCUGAUGUGAAAGCCUUCGGCUCAACCGAAGAAGUGCAUCGGAAACUGGGAAACUUGAGUGCAGAAGAGGACAGUGGAACUCCAUGUGUAGCGGUGAAAUGCGUAGAUAUAUGGAAGAACACCAGUGGCGAAGGCGGCUGUCUGGUCUGUAACUGACGCUGAGGCUCG